This 1412-nucleotide unclassified non-coding RNA is filed under the name Centruroides sculpturatus (bark scorpion). RNAcentral describes it as "serine/threonine-protein kinase Aurora-3-like, transcript variant X4". Lineage: Eukaryota; Metazoa; Arthropoda; Arachnida; Scorpiones; Buthidae. The record is from RNAcentral.
UCGCGAAUUUCGAGAAAUAAAAUGAAGAAGAAAAGGAGAGAAGAUUCUGAACCGAGUGUUCAGGAAAAUAAAGAUUGCUCAUUUCAGAAUGACAAAGAUUGGCCUGCAACAAAAUGUGACUUGUCGAAUCUAGACGAGUCGCAGUUGCAAGCAAAUAAGCCGAAGAAAGAAAAGUUUAUGGGAUUUUUAACAAAUUUAUUCCAUAAAUUCUUGUUUUGUUGUUGCAUUUCAGGCGAGAUUUCUGAUUCCGAGACUUACGAACCGGAAAAGAAACUCGCACAUUCAAAGCAGGAACACGUCCUUUUUGAUAAAGCCAAUUAUUAUAUUGACAAGUACAAAAUUACUAAAGAAAUUGGACGUGGAAGUUUUGGGACUAUUUAUUUGGCUAAGACCAAAUAUUCUAGAAAGAAAAAGGCUUUAAAAAUCGUAAAGAAGAAAGUCUCUUCUUCUAAUCAGUUUGGUGAAAUCCGGAGAGAAACAAUCGUUUGGAAUUGCGUGUCCGCCCAUCCAAACAUUGUCAGAUUGAUUCGAUUCCUGCAAACUGACACAGCCUUUUGCUUUGUCUCGGAUUUUGUGGAGGGAGAAACUUUGACCGAAUUUAUACAAAAGAAUGGCCCUAUAGCGGAGAGAAAAGCAAAAGUGUUUGCCGCUCAAGUGGCCUCUGCUAUUAUGUAUAUUCAUAGGAAUGGAAUAAUACACCGAGACAUUAGUUCAAACAACAUUAUGUUAGAUGUGUACAAAGGUGCACAAGUAAUUGAUUUCGGUCUAUCCACAUACGAAAGAAAUCCAAGAGAUUUUUGUGGCACUUUAUCAUUUAUGUGUCCGGAAAUUCUCCAGAGGAAGCCUUACGAUUCUUUCUGUGACUGGUGGGCUUUCGCCAUCGUGUUAUUUCAAGCGUUGGUUGGAAGAACUCCUCUGGAGAUUUAUGUGAAAGAAGCUUUUGAUAUUGAUAAUGUGUAUUUAUUGCCCCGUUACGAACGGAUAAGAGCUGCUCUAAAUGUGAAGGUGUCGUAUCCUCCUGGAUUAUCGGAUGAUGCCAGACAUUUUAUUCGUGAUCUAUUGCAAAAGGACCCAUACAGACGUCCUUUAGAAGUAAAUAUAAGGGAACACGAGUAUUUUCAUAAAGUGCCUUGGCCAAAAAUUGUAUGUUUUAUUUUCCCAUAUCGCAUUUGAAUGUCACUUUACGAAAUAAAACAACUGAUUUUCUUUUGUAUUUUCAGACUUAGGGUUUUCGGCAGAAUAAACUGAACAUGAAGUUCGGAUCUUUGUUGAAAUCAAUGUGGAAGCCGCUUAAUUAAGUGGUCUUUGAAGAAAUUCAGGGAUUCAUUCCCUUUGUAUAUAGUUUUUUAUUUUUUAUUUUUAAAUAUUUGUGUUGUUUGUUAUCGUUAUCGUUGUCUUUUGUUCGUUGAGCA